GAUGACGGAGCUUGCUCCUNNGAUUGAGCGGNGGANGGGUGACUCCAUAUGGGUAAUCUGCCUGUAAGACGGGGAUAACUCCGGGAAACCGGGGCUAAUACCGGAUAACAAGAGAAGAAGCAUUUCUUCUUUUUGAAAGUCGGUUUCGGCUGACACUUACAGAUGAGCCCGCGGCGCAUUAGCUAGUUGGUGAGGUAACGGCUCACCAAGGCGACGAUGCGUAGCCGACCUGAGAGGGUGAUCGGCCACACUGGGACUGAGACACGGCCCAGACUCCUACGGGAGGCAGCAGUAGGGAAUCUUCGGCAAUGGGCGAAAGCCUGACCGAGCAACGCCGCGUGAGCGAUGAAGGCCUUCGGGUCGUAAAGCUCUGUUGUUAGAGAAGAACAAGUACGAGAGUAACUGCUCGUACCUUGACGGUACCUAACCAGAAAGCCACGGCUAACUACGUGCCAGCAGCCGCGGUAAUACGUAGGUGGCAAGCGUUAUCCGGAAUUAUUGGGCGUAAAGCGCGCGCAGGCGGUCUCUUAAGUCUGAUGUGAAAGCCCACGGCUCAACCGUGGAGGGUCAUUGGAAACUGGGAGACUUGAGUGCAGGAGAGAAAAGUGGAAUUCCACGUGUAGCGGUGAAAUGCGUAGAGAUGUGGAGGAACACCAGUGGCGAAGGCGGCUUUUUGGCCUGUAACUGACGCUGAGGCGCGAAAGCGUGGGGAGCAAACAGGAUUAGAUACCCUGGUAGUCCACGCCGUAAACGAUGAGUGCUAGGUGUNUGGGGGGUUCCACCCUCAGUGCUGAAGUUAACACAUUAAGCACUCCGCCUGGGGAGUACGACCGCAAGGUUGAAACUCAAAGGAAUUGACGGGGGCCCGCACAAGCAGUGGAGCAUGUGGUUUAAUUCGAAGCAACGCGAAGAACCUUACCAGGUCUUGACAUCCUCUGACCACUCUAGAGAUAGAGCUUUCCCCUUCGGGGGACAGAGUGACAGGUGGUGCAUGGUUGUCGUCAGCUCGUGUCGUGAGAUGUUGGGUUAAGUCCCGCAACGAGCGCAACCCUUGACCUUAGUUGCCAGCAUUCAGUUGGGCACUCUAAGGUGACUGCCGGUGACAAACCGGAAGAAAGGUGGGGAUGACGUCAAAUCAUCAUGCCCCUUAUGACCUGGGCUACACCCGGGCUACAUGGGAUGGG
This 1184-nucleotide ribosomal RNA is filed under the name Fictibacillus phosphorivorans. RNAcentral's name for it is "bacterial SSU rRNA". It matches the Rfam family "Bacterial small subunit ribosomal RNA", at positions 69 to 1238 of the family's 1533-position model. Lineage: Bacteria; Bacillati; Bacillota; Bacilli; Caryophanales; Fictibacillaceae. The record is from RNAcentral.